GGAAUCGAACGUUAAGCAGAAGCGACAACACUGUAGCAGCUGAUUCUUGACGCACAACAGGAAACAAUAAACUCCAUCGAAGCAGAACCAACAGCAAGAGAAAGUUUCAGCCCAGACAAUCUCAAUUUCGAACGAAUGACAUUUGAAACGCCCAAUGAUCCACCUGUUCCGGCACAUGACGUUACGUUACCUGAUGAAGACACUGAUGAAGGCUCAAGUGGAACCACUUGUCAGCCGAAUAAUUGUGACUACCGCUAAUAAGACCGCAAAUGCAUUUACAGCAUUACGAAUCAGUGCUACAUGUUAGAUUACACAGGUCAUAGACGGAUAAUGUCUUAUAAUGUCUGGUAAACAUUGAGUA
This is a long non-coding RNA of Bradysia coprophila, 361 nucleotides long. RefSeq lists it as uncharacterized. The record is from RefSeq and is a predicted model, not a curated record. NCBI's taxonomy places the organism in Eukaryota, Metazoa, Arthropoda, Insecta, Diptera, Sciaridae.